Long non-coding RNA from Oreochromis aureus, 2457 nucleotides. The record is from Ensembl. NCBI's taxonomy places the organism in Eukaryota, Metazoa, Chordata, Actinopteri, Cichliformes, Cichlidae.
GCCAGAUUCAGUGUUUAUUGACAAUUGACAGUGAGGAGUGGACAUCAUCAUAACUAUUCCAAUCAAUCAUAAACACACUCGACUGACAAUGACAAUACAAUUACAAUACAGAUCAUUCGCUCGGUCAGCAGGGUGCGGUAUUCUCGUACACUGGGAGUAAACUGCUAUUAAACGAAACCGAAGAAGAAGAAAACAUCUGCACAUGCGCAGUACGGAUCGGGUAGACCCGAUUUGUACGGUCCGUCUUUGCACAUGCGCAGUAAGGAUCGGAGAGUCCUGAUCCGUAACUACCUUUUUAUUUUUUAUUUUUGUCUACAUUAUAUUGAAAUGUUUCAUUAUUUCAAACAUUUUAAUAGAUACUUAUUAUUCUUAACAUCUUAACAGGUACUCUGACCCAUAACUAUCGUAAAAUGCUUCGACCGGAAGUAGACAACUUUCGCGCAUGCGGGGUACCGAUCGGGUUUCCGGUACAGAUCGGGUGCAUGCUCGAUAAAACGGGCGGAUCGAGAACACAUCCGGGACUUUUUCGCGUUCUCGGCGUGAUGCGUACUUCGAAUUGGAACAGUACUUGGUCUCCGACUGAUGACGUAUCACGAGUACACGAGAACGCAAGUACGCACAAGUACGCAUAUUGAUAAACGCCCACAGCCUUUGAAUUGGGACAGCCUUCGGCGCGCCGCUGUGACGUAAUCGGCCUUAAAAUGCAGCCUUUGAGGCUGCAGACCCUGAAUUGGGAUACAGCCGUCGGAAUUGACCGGAGAAGGCACUGCUCUGGCCUGCACCACGGUUAGUAUAAGGCACAUUUUACGAAGCAAAACGCAGUCUUCAGAGAUCUCUACGUGAACACUGUGAUACGUCUGACCUUCAGUCCAAAGCAGAAACCCAGACCAGUCUUAAAAGAAAGCACAAACCAAAUCCCCUGUACACAUAUACGGACUCAGAGGAUGAGCACCGUACUCGAGACCCUCGAGUGAAAAUACCAGCCCUCACCACUCCGCAGUCUGCCCCCCAGCCCACUGAUAGCAACCAUCAUAAUGCCCCACCCAGCUUCCGGCACAACACACAAACCAACACAGCUUUGCGAUCUCCCCAGCAUGCAGAGUCUGAUGUCGCUGUCUUCCCUAUAGAUGAUUCCAGAGACUCUGUGAGGCCACUAUUACAAGAUGCGACCUCACAAAAGAUGUUAAUGAUGCAGUUAACGAACUCCGUGAGGAGGUCAGAGCCAACCACCAUCCCUGCUGCAAUGAAUCUGUAGAUGCUGGGGUAUUGCCUCUGGAUUUGCCCUUGCACAACAUGGAGGAGCUAAACAAUGCAGGGGCAGCUCUUCAAUCACCGGAGGCAAAUAAGGCAAUGGUGAGACGCUUUGCCUUGAUUGGAGGGACCACACUGGAGGUGCGAGUCCACCGCACCGCCAAACGAGCUGGCCUCGGUACUCAACUGGGCAGGGGAAAAAACCAAGGACCUUACAGAGCAAAAAAGGGCAAUUAAAGAGACAGCGCUGUGCAGAUGCAUAUUUGAUGGCCUGACGCAGCAGGUAGGGGCGAACUCUAUGUCUGAGUUGGUCUUUGCUUAAGCAGUCCAGAAAUGGCUCAGAUAAGCUCCAGAUCGUACGGGUGGCACAGGACGCACAUCAUCCAUCCCCAUCCCGGAGUAAAUAAUAAAAAGUGACGUGAAACAUAGAAAUGUAAAUAGGAAACUUUGUCUUUUAAUAAAGUAUUGAUACAUGUCUAUUGACCUUUUUUUUUUUUUUUUUCAAUAAAAAGCAACUGUGCAAAAGAGUUGGAAAAUCAAUACCAUAGCUCAACAGUGUUUCAAUAUCAGAAUCUGACAUUGUUUCAAUGUCAACAGUGUUAGAAAAUAUAACGUCGAAUCAAUGUCAGGUUUCAACAUUGAUUCAAUAUCAAAACCUGACGUUUCAAUAUUAAAAAAGGGUGCAAGAGUGACGUUAGGUCAACGUCACACCUCAACGUUGAUUCAAUGACAUCGCCUGAUAUUGACUAAACAUUGUUUCAAUGUUUCCUUGCUAUCUGGGUUAACCCACCCCCACCACCCAAAAAAAUGGUUUGUUGCAGCUCGGCUCUCCCCCACUCUGGCUCGAGCGCCGUUGCUGCCAGAGCGAUGGUGGCUGAGACGCAGCGGAGCAGAGGUGUAAGUGCCUGGCUUAAAACAGGACAUGUUAGCUGCAUUUAACCUUCAGUUACUCUUUAUAUAGGUAGGAGUCAGACCAUGUUUCUUUUUAGCUGAAAAACAUUACACCCAGGUAACCUGCAGUGUUGAAAACGUGUUUUCCCACGAUGUUUGCUACCCUACAAUCCGUCCUGCUCUGUAGUAAAAUCAGCGACAUUUUAUUGUCCUGUUACUCCCAUUGAAAUGUAUAUAGCCUAUUUAAAAUCUAAAACUUAAAAUUGUCCGUAACCUACUGUUGUUACCACUGUCCUGUUUGAAAUGGAAUGAGAG